This 287-nucleotide long non-coding RNA is filed under the name Mytilus galloprovincialis (Mediterranean mussel). The record is from RNAcentral. Lineage: Eukaryota; Metazoa; Mollusca; Bivalvia; Mytilida; Mytilidae.
GUGGUGCAAAUGCUUGAUAAGCUGUGCUUCGGAAGAAAUUUUGAGAAGUUGGUACUCAUUUCUUGGAAGCACAUUGUUUUCCUUUGUCUCAUUAUUGAUACUGAGCUAUUUAAGUUUUUUCUGACAGAUGAGAAAUGGUAAAAUUAUCUCCCUUGGGAAAUUCUUUCUUAAAUAGAAUUGUGUAACUGUAUUUUAGAUGAUUUACAUCAUAUAUUGGUCUUGUGACGAAUGCUUUUAAUGCAGUAUCUGUGGGAAUGUUACAUUGCAGAAACAUGGCGAGAAAUAAU